CCAAACAUUUCUUGGCAUUGUCCUAAUGAUUCUAGACCUCUGAUGUAUGCCUCGGACUUAUCGUAAAAUGCUCUUAAACUCUCUAAACGCUCAUCAGGCACCGGCAUAUCCAAAAGUGAUCUCAUGUAUGCAUUGAUUAUCUUGUGGGUUUGACCAUAACGAUUCUUUAAAAGUUCAAUAUGUAUAAUUUGGGUUGGUCAUGGUGAGGCCUGAAACUACGUUUGCGGCAUCUGAUUGCAAUAAGGACUUCAAAUAUGAAAAUUUCUGAAUGUCGGAUAGUGUAUUGUUAUGAUGAAUUGUCGAUUCAAAUGAAUCCCAGAAAUAUUGCCAUUCUAAUAUAUCUCCGCUAAAAUUUGGUAGCGUUAACUUGGGUAGGCGAUGAUUUUGGCUUGAGGUUGAACUUGUUUGUGAUAGCUCCCGACUGGAAUGCGUAAAUGGGUUUGAAUGUGGUAUAAACUCUUGGGCAUUGCUAUCUAGAAUUGAAGAAGUGGCGGUGGCGACGGGUUUCAAGAACUUUUUGUAUUUUCUAAUUUUACUUUCUAACUCUAAAUAGUACUCAUCUGUUUCUAUAAUUUCAUCAGUAAUUCCCUCCGAGUCCACUGUAUUUAAAAUCUGUUCGUCGAUAUUGGCUAAAGUUUUCUUUUUCUUUUCAACUGCUUCCAAUAAUGUACAUAUUUCCUCCGGGUCUAAAGGAGUAUCAACGAUGG
RNAcentral lists this long non-coding RNA (707 nucleotides) under Mytilus galloprovincialis (Mediterranean mussel). Lineage: Eukaryota; Metazoa; Mollusca; Bivalvia; Mytilida; Mytilidae. The record is from RNAcentral.